This 206-nucleotide ribosomal RNA is filed under the name uncultured bacterium. Its description in RNAcentral is "partial 16S ribosomal RNA". It matches the Rfam family "Bacterial small subunit ribosomal RNA", at positions 568 to 774 of the family's 1533-position model. The record is from RNAcentral.
CGCGCAGGCGGUCGAUCAAGUCGAGUGUGAAAGCCCCCGGCUCAACUGGGGAGGGUCAUUCGAUACUGAUCGACUCGAAGGCAGGAGAGGGUAGUGGAAUUCCCGGUGUAGUGGUGAAAUGCGUAGAUAUUGGGAGGAACACCAGUGGCGAAGGCGACUACCUGGCCUGUUCUUGACGCUGAGGCGCGAAAGCUAGGGAGCAAACG